GUGGUGUGAGCGGUGUGACCUUCGCUCUCUCUCCUGGGGGGGCUGCACGUCUGCCCUGAGGUGGCCGUUAGCAGGGCGGAAUAACGGGCUGUGUGUUACGGCGUAGGCAGAUAGGCCUGCAGGUAUCCCAGCUCUGAGGGAGGCACACAGAGCGCCCAGAUGUGCCCGCUGCAUGAGGAGCCCGAAGCAGUGCUGCCAGCCAGGGAGAGAUCAUCAGCAUCACUCAGCAGAUGAAAACAAAAAUGAGCCUUCUGAGCCACGUUCAGAAAAUGCUUAGAAAUGACAAAAGGUAGCUGAUGGUGCAGUGACAGAUCUGCAGAAUAAUCUCCCUUCCUUUCUUAAGGAAAAUUCCCACCGGCUGGGCAACCCUAUGAAAAGGUGUUGGGAAUCAUCUGGAGAAUGUAAGUGGCCAUUUAGAUGAUUCUUAACUAGCAACCUCGGCCUGUUGGAGAUGCAAUUUAUACACGUUGCUCUUGACUGUUCCUUCAGAAGGAAUUGGUUGGUUCACCUCAGUAUCGGCUGAAGGACAUGCUGUCACUGUCUCCAGGGUCCUUCCUUACCACUGAAUCUUUCUGGAAACCGCUGUGAAAGUCAAACAUUUUGGCUGCAGUGAGUGUCAGCCACUUGCUUUCCUGUCAAGUGAGAAAGCUGGAUUCUCACAAAUGCAAAACAGAAGAAAUGUUAUUCUUGUAAGCAGGUGCCUUCCCUUGAUUCAUGGACUUCUGAAGCCAUCAUCCCAAGAGAUUUUGCCAGAAACACUGGCGCCAGAGAUUCAAUGGCUGAUUUAUCUAGUAAGACAUUUAGCAAGCUUCUGCUGUACUUUUAAACCUGGAGAUGCUGAAGGUGUUUUUCUCUGAGUUAAUAAUUAUUAACUGUAGAUAGCAAGCUGGAAAAAGACUGAACUAUUUUAGAAAUGCAUGCAAUAAAUAAUAGUGGCUGUGCUUCAGAUGGCUGUCACAAGGCUCAAGGACAAAUUCUAAACAGCAUGACUGGCAUUUUAAUGGCUAAAAAUAUGUCUUUGGUCCACAUUGUGAAAAAUCGAUUAGAAAACUCUUACAGACCAAAAGUUUUGUGCAAAAUAGUGAAUAAAACUGCUGCCCUUCCUGCCUUACU
Long non-coding RNA from Lagopus leucura (white-tailed ptarmigan), 1113 nucleotides. RefSeq lists it as uncharacterized. The record is from RefSeq and is a predicted model, not a curated record. NCBI's taxonomy places the organism in Eukaryota, Metazoa, Chordata, Aves, Galliformes, Phasianidae. The transcript has 3 exons.